AUGACAUUAGCGGCGAUAGACAACCCGUCCAACGCCGUGGAGUGGGCAUUGGGGGAGAUGGUGAAUAGCCCAGAUUUGCUAGACAAGGCUAUGGAAGAGAUAAACCGGGUGGUUGGUCAGGAGAGACUGGUGCAGGAGUCAGACUUCCCACAACUCAACUACGUCAAGGCGUGUAUACGAGAAGCAUUUCGGUUGCACCCUGUCGCGCCCUUCAAUGUACCACAUGUCGCGGUCGCCGAUGCCAUUGUCUUCGGCUACCACGUGCCAAAGGGCAGCCACAUUCUUCUAAGCCGGGUUGGCUUAGGAUGGAACUCGUCUGUUUGGGAUGAGCCGCUUGACUUCAAGCCAGAGCGCCAUAUGAAAGACAAUAUUGAUGUGGUGCUCACAGAGAGCGAGUUGCGAUUUAUCUCCUUUAGAACUGGUCGUCGCGGGUGCAUUGCGGCGUCUCUAGGGACGGCCAUGACUGUCAUGCUGUUUAGCAGGCUCUUGCAAGGCUUCACAUGGACCAAGCCAGCAGGAGUGGAGGUCCUCCAUCUCGUAGAGUCCAAGCAAGACCUCUUGAUGGCAAAGCCACUGGUGCUACAUGCAGAACCAUGCCUACCGAUGCACCUCUACCGCAUGGUUAAGUAA
RNAcentral lists this ribosomal RNA (630 nucleotides) under Triticum aestivum (bread wheat). RNAcentral's name for it is "partial small subunit ribosomal RNA". Lineage: Eukaryota; Viridiplantae; Streptophyta; Magnoliopsida; Poales; Poaceae. The record is from RNAcentral.